Long non-coding RNA from Anolis carolinensis (green anole), 674 nucleotides. RefSeq lists it as uncharacterized. The transcript is spliced from 2 exons. The record is from RefSeq and is a predicted model, not a curated record. NCBI's taxonomy places the organism in Eukaryota, Metazoa, Chordata, Lepidosauria, Squamata, Anolidae.
AUAAUGUCUCACUUCCUCUGGAAACAGGACAUGGACCUGUAUAAAAGGUCCACUAUCCUAGUUCUCCUCAUUCGAUCUUCAGGUUCCUCAACCUACCAGUCUACUCCUGAACAAGGUUCAUCCUUCCUUAUCAGCAAUGGGUAACUGCAAUGGGUAUGGUGGUGGCCAAAGCCAGCCAUCAAUGAUGUGUUUGCCUUUGGGAGGUUGUGGCAGCUGCUGCCAGCCCUCCUGUGGCCAAUCCUGUGGUUCCAGCGGCUGUCUCUAUUUAGUCAGUAUGGGACGUAGCAACAGUGGCGGAUGUUGCGGAGGAUGUUGCGGCGGUGGCGGAUAUUGAUGAUCCGGGAUUGAACCUCUAUGAGGUACGGCAUGGACAUUCCAACAGCCAGAACCAUCUCACUGUCAACGACAGCCACUUUGAGGACCUGUCUGAUAACCUCCUUCCUUUACUUGUUGGCCAGUCAAAACCGUGAAGAAGCUUUGUGCCGGCCUCUUGCACAAAACAUCCCCCUUCUCUAUGUAUUCCUUUUGCUUUUUUAUGAUUCCACAAAGUCCUGAGAAACAAAAGAGAUGUGACGGAUUGUGUCGGAAACAUGGGUGUGGGUCUCCUUCUCUUCUCCCUGGGCAAUGGAAAUCCCCAGGUUCUUCCUUUAAUAAAUGAAAUGUUGAAAUGAUAA